This 274-nucleotide ribosomal RNA is filed under the name uncultured bacterium. Its description in RNAcentral is "partial 16S ribosomal RNA". It matches the Rfam family "Bacterial small subunit ribosomal RNA", at positions 523 to 796 of the family's 1533-position model. The record is from RNAcentral.
AUACAGAGGGUGCAAGCGUUAAUAGGAAUUACUGGGCGUAAAGCGCGCGUAGGCGGUUUAUUAUGUCGGAUGUGAAAUCCCUGGGCUCAACCUGGGAACUGCAUUCGAAACUGAUUGACUAGAGUAUGGUAGAGGGUGGUGGAAUUCCUAGUGUAGCGGUGAAAUGCGCAGAUAUUAGGAGGAACAUCAGUGGCGAAGGCGACCACCUGGACCAAUACUGACGCUGAGGUGCGAAAGCGAGGGGAGCAAACAGGAUUAGAAACCCUAGUAGUCC